Molecule: ribosomal RNA, 1346 nt
Filed under: uncultured bacterium
Lineage: Bacteria
Description: partial 16S ribosomal RNA
Rfam family: Bacterial small subunit ribosomal RNA
Source: RNAcentral
GACGAACGCUGGCGGCGUGCUUAACACAUGCAAGUCGAACGGAAAGGCCCUGCUUUUGUGGGGUGCUCGAGUGGCGAACGGGUGAGUAACACGUGAGUAACCUGCCCUUGACUUUGGGAUAACUUCAGGAAACUGGGGCUAAUACCGGAUAGGAGCUCCUGCUGCAUGGUGGGGGUUGGAAAGUUUCGGCGGUUGGGGAUGGACUCGCGGCUUAUCAGCUUGUUGGUGGGGUAGUGGCUUACCAAGGCUUUGACGGGUAGCCGGCCUGAGAGGGUGACCGGCCACAUUGGGACUGAGAUACGGCCCAGACUCCUACGGGAGGCAGCAGUGGGGAAUAUUGCACAAUGGGCGGAAGCCUGAUGCAGCAACGCCGCGUGCGGGAUGACGGCCUUCGGGUUGUAAACCGCUUUCGCCUGUGACGAAGCGUGAGUGACGGUAAUGGGUAAAGAAGCACCGGCUAACUACGUGCCAGCAGCCGCGGUGAUACGUAGGGUGCGAGCGUCGUCCGGAUUUAUUGGGCGUAAAGGGCUCGUAGGUGGUUGAUCGCGUCGGAAGUGUAAUCUUGGGGCUUAACCCUGAGCGUGCUUUCGAUACGGGUUGACUUGAGGAAGGUAGGGGAGAAUGGAAUUCCUGGUGGAGCGGUGGAAUGCGCAGAUAUCAGGAGGAACACCAGUGGCGAAGGCGGUUCUCUGGGCCUUUCCUGACGCUGAGGAGCGAAAGCGUGGGGAGCGAACAGGCUUAGAUACCCUGGUAGUCCACGCUGUAAACGGUGGGUACUAGGUGUGGGGUCCAUUCCACGGGUUCCGUGCCGUAGCUAACGCUUUAAGUACCCCGCCUGGGGAGUACGGCCGCAAGGCUAAAACUCAAAGGAAUUGACGGGGCCCCGCACAAGCGGCGGAGCAUGCGGAUUAAUUCGAUGCAACGCGUAGAACCUUACCUGGGUUUGACAUGGAUCGGGAGUGCUCAGAGAUGGGUGUGCCUCUUUUGGGGUCGGUUCACAGGUGGUGCAUGCCUGUCGUCAGCUCGUGUCGUGAGAUGCUGGGUUAAGUCCCGCAACGAGCGCAACCCUUGUUCACUGUUGCCAGCACGUUAUGGUGGGGACUCAGUGGAGACCGCCGGGGUCAACUCGGAGGAAGGUGGGGAUGACGUCAAGUCAUCAUGCCCCUUAUGUCCAGGGCUUCACGCAUGCUACAAUGGCUGGUACAGAGAGUGGCGAGCCUGUGAGGGUGAGCGAAUCUCGGAAAGCCGGUCUCAGUUCGGAUUGGGGUCUGCAACUCGACCUCAUGAAGUCGGAGUCGCUAGUAAUCGCAGAUCAGCAACGCUGCGGUGAAUACGUUCCCGGGGCU